GAUGAACGCUAGCGAUAGGCUUAACACAUGCAAGUCGAGGGGCAGCAUGGUCUUAGCUUGCUAAGACUGAUGGCGACCGGCGCACGGGUGCGUAACGCGUAUGCAACUUGCCUCACAGAGGGGGAUAACCCGUCGAAAGACGGACUAAUACCGCGUACACUUGGGAUAGGGCAUCCUGACCCAAGGAAAUGAAAUUCGCUGUGAGAUAGGCAUGCGUCCCAUUAGCUAGUUGGUGAGGUAACGGCUCACCAAGGCGACGAUGGGUAGGGGAACUGAGAGGGUGCACCCCCACACUGGUACUGAGACACGGACCAGACUCCUACGGGAGGCAGCAGUGAGGAAUAUUGGUCAAUGGGCGAGAGCCUGAACCAGCCAAGUCGCGUGAAGGAUGACUGUCUUAGGGAUUGUAACCUUCUUUUAUACGGGAAUAACAAGAGCCACGUGUGGCUCCCUGCAUGUACCGUAUGAAUAAGCAUCGGCUAACUCCGU
RNAcentral lists this ribosomal RNA (489 nucleotides) under uncultured bacterium. RNAcentral describes it as "partial 16S ribosomal RNA". It matches the Rfam family "Bacterial small subunit ribosomal RNA", at positions 28 to 506 of the family's 1533-position model. The record is from RNAcentral.